ACUCCCUUAGUAUAAGCAAUAUAACUGACUUCCAAUUAGUAGAUUCUGAAAAAACUCAGAAAGGAGUA
RNAcentral lists this transfer RNA (68 nucleotides) under Bandicota indica (Greater bandicoot rat). RNAcentral's name for it is "tRNA-Gly". The record is from RNAcentral. Lineage: Eukaryota; Metazoa; Chordata; Mammalia; Rodentia; Muridae.